GCGAACGCUGGCGGCAGGCUUAACACAUGCAAGUCGCGCGGGCCCUUCGGGGUCAGCGGCAGACGGGUGAGUAACACGUGGGAACGUACCCUUUGGUUCGGAAUAACGCUGGGAAACUAGCGCUAAUACCGGAUACGCCCUUUUGGGGAAAGGCUUGCUGCCGAAGGAUCGGCCCGCGUCUGAUUAGCUAGUUGGUGGGGUAAUGGCCUACCAAGGCGACGAUCAGUAGCUGGUCUGAGAGGAUGAUCAGCCACACUGGGACUGAGACACGGCCCAGACUCCUACGGGAGGCAGCAGUGGGGAAUAUUGGACAAUGGGCGCAAGCCUGAUCCAGCCAUGCCGCGUGAGUGAUGAAGGCCUUAGGGUUGUAAAGCUCUUUUGUCCGGGACGAUAAUGACGGUACCGGAAGAAUAAGCCCCGGCUAACUUCGUG
RNAcentral lists this ribosomal RNA (432 nucleotides) under uncultured bacterium. RNAcentral describes it as "partial 16S ribosomal RNA". It matches the Rfam family "Bacterial small subunit ribosomal RNA", at positions 29 to 507 of the family's 1533-position model. The record is from RNAcentral.